Molecule: ribosomal RNA, 253 nt
Filed under: uncultured bacterium
Lineage: Bacteria
Description: partial 16S ribosomal RNA
Rfam family: Bacterial small subunit ribosomal RNA
Source: RNAcentral
UACGGGGGGGGCAAGCGUUGUUCGGAAUUACUGGGCGUAAAGGGCUCGUAGGUGGCCAACUAAGUCGGACGUGAAAUCCCUCGGCUUAACCGGGGAACUGCGUCCGAUACUGGUUGGCUUGAGUUUGGGAGAGGGAUGCGGAAUUCCAGGUGUAGCGGUGAAAUGCGUAGAUAUCUGGAGAAACACCGGUGGCGAAGGCGGGUCUCUGGGCCGAUACUGACGCUGAGGAGCGAAAGCGUGGGGAGCGAACAGG